GGGGAGAGUCUUAGAAUCCCCAAGGGCGCCGUGUAAAUAGUGACUGUCUUUGGCCGGACGGCAUGGUUUGUGAAUC
Molecule: non-coding RNA, 76 nt
Filed under: unclassified sequences
Description: L13-Bacteroidia ribosomal protein leader
Rfam family: L13-Bacteroidia ribosomal protein leader
Source: RNAcentral